GACGAACGCUGGCGGCGUGCUUAACACAUGCAAGUCGAACGGAAAGGCCCUGCUUUUGUGGGGUGCUCGAGUGGCGAACGGGUGAGUAACACGUGAGUAACCUGCCCUUGACUUUGGGAUAACUUCAGGAAACUGGGGCUAAUACCGGAUAGGAGCUCCUGCUGCAUGGUGGGGGUUGGAAGGUUUCGGCGGUUGGGGAUGGACUCGCGGCUUUUCAGCUUGUUGGUGGGGUAGUGGCUUACCAAGGCUUUGAGGGGUAGCCGGCCUGAGAGGGUGACCGGCCACAUUGGGACUGAGAUACGGCCCAGACUCCUACGGGAGGCAGCAGUGGGGAAUAUUGCACAAUGGGCGGAAGCCUGAUGCAGCAACGCCGCGUGCGGGAUGACGGCCUUCGGGUUGUAAACCGCUUUCGCCUGUGACGAAGCGUGAGUGACGGUAAUGGGUAAAGAAGCACCGGCUAACUACGUG
This 468-nucleotide ribosomal RNA is filed under the name uncultured bacterium. Its description in RNAcentral is "partial 16S ribosomal RNA". It matches the Rfam family "Bacterial small subunit ribosomal RNA", at positions 28 to 507 of the family's 1533-position model. The record is from RNAcentral.